This is a long non-coding RNA of Sphaeramia orbicularis (orbiculate cardinalfish), 971 nucleotides long. RefSeq lists it as uncharacterized. The transcript is spliced from 2 exons. NCBI's taxonomy places the organism in Eukaryota, Metazoa, Chordata, Actinopteri, Kurtiformes, Apogonidae. The record is from RefSeq and is a predicted model, not a curated record.
UCAGGUUGGAUCCUGCUGGAGUCCGAUGGUUGACACCAGGUCUGAGGAAGUAUUUCUGUGAACUCACCCUGGAUCCAAACACAGCGAACAGAAAACUGAAACUGUCUGAAAACAACAAGAAGGUGGAACGAGUGAAGGAGGGUCAGUCAAAUCCUUAUCUUCAGGACAGAUUUAAGGACUGUGAACAGGUGAUGUGUUCAACUGGUCUGACUGGUCGCUGUUACUGGGAGGUCCAGUGGAGUGGAUGGGUUGAAAUAUCAGUGACUUACAGAGGAAUCAGAAGGAAAGGAAACAGUAGAGACAGUUGGUUUGGAGGAAAUGAUCAGUCCUGGAGUCUGUGGUGUUAUGGAGGUGGAUACAGUGUCUGUCAUAAAAACGAAUACACACCCCUCCCUCAGUCCUCCUCCUCCUCCUCUGGUACAGUCUCAGUGUAUGUGGACUGUCCUGCUGGAUCUGUGUCCUUCUACAGAGUCUCCUCUGACAAACUGAUCCACCUGCACACCUUCAAAACCACAUUCACUGAACCACUGUUUGGAGGAUUUACACUGAAGGACACAGGAUCCACAGUGUGUUUGUGUGAUGUGUAGUUGUGUUGUGUAGUUGUAUUGUGUAGUUGUGUAGUGUCCAUAAAAUGGUUGUGUUCAAAUCAGUGUCAUUUGAACACAGUUGUGUGUGAGUUGAUGCUCUACAAAUACACAAACAUUUAGAAACACCAAGAACAUAAAUCAGCCUCAGUUCUUCAACAGUUGUCUUGUUUCUUUGGAUGCUUUCUAUGUUUAUAAAAUUAGAAAUGAAUCCAACCAGUAGUUUGACAGAAGAAUUGCUCAUGAAGACGACGCCUCCACAAUAACUCAUCUGUGUGCAUUUUUUCCACAGUGAGAGGAUUAGGACUGUAGACUGAAAAUGACAAUUCCAGUAAAGGAGCGCAUUUACAGAAGAAAGACAGAAUGUUGCAUCCAAUUCUCUUUUUU